UACGUAGGGUGCGAGCGUUGUCCGGAAUUAUUGGGCGUAAAGGGCUCGUAGGCGGUUUGUCGCGUCGGGAGUGAAAACUCAGGGCUUAACCCUGAGCCUGCUUCCGAUACGGGCAGACUAGAGGUAUGCAGGGGAGAACGGAAUUCCUGGUGUAGCGGUGAAAUGCGCAGAUAUCAGGAGGAACACCGGUGGCGAAGGCGGUCUGCUGGGCAGUUGCUGACACUGAGGCGCGACAGCGUGGGGAGCAAACAGG
This 253-nucleotide ribosomal RNA is filed under the name uncultured bacterium. RNAcentral's name for it is "partial 16S ribosomal RNA". It matches the Rfam family "Bacterial small subunit ribosomal RNA", at positions 524 to 776 of the family's 1533-position model. The record is from RNAcentral.